ACACCUGCUGAUCAUAUUUGCCAUGCAUGCUGGCAACUUGCUUAUCAUGCAUCUACUGAAAAUAUGCCCAGCAGCAGCAGCGGUUGGCCAUCAUAAUAUCUGUGUUGUAUCAUGUGGAUUAUCCAUAGUAAGAACAAAUCAAUGCAGAAUUUUAAUUGAAGGGGCAAAUGAAGACUUCUAUAGUAUCUUCUUGGAUUCAAGCACGAAAGCUUUGGUCUCAAGAUGAAGAACCAGAAUAGUCCAAGUAAUUGAGGACUUUCAACCUGAAUAUCUGGAUUCAGCUUUAAUGUGUACUGUAUGUGGCCAGUCUGGACACCACAACUUCAGACUUAGAGUGGAAUCCUGAAAACAUUACUCGUUUGCUGGAGCAACAAGAGAUGUCAUCUAUGAAUGAAGUUUCUGGAGUUUGUUGAAACCAAGCUCGAGACAUAAAGUCACAUAUUCCAGAAGCUGAUGAAAGAUCCCAACUAAAUAUUGUGUUGUUCAAUAUAAGAAGAGCAGCUGAAACACCAGGACAUUGCGUUUUUCAAGAAUGCAUGAAUCCUGAACAAAAUGUUGUGCCUCGAGUUGCUUAUGCCUGUGUUGUGUUGUUGUGCUUCAAGCUAAAAUAAAGUCCUGCCAUUGUUCUGGAAAAACUUAUUUUGUAUUUAUUGUAACUGAAAGAAACAUGA
Long non-coding RNA from Aricia agestis (brown argus), 671 nucleotides. RefSeq lists it as uncharacterized. Lineage: Eukaryota; Metazoa; Arthropoda; Insecta; Lepidoptera; Lycaenidae. The transcript is spliced from 3 exons. The record is from RefSeq and is a predicted model, not a curated record.